GCUGGGCGUGGUGGCGCAUGCCUGUAGUCCCAGCUACUUGGGAGGCUGAGGUGGGAGAAUCGCUGGAACCCGGGAGGCCGAGGUUGCAGUGAGCCAAGGUCACACCACUGCACUCUAGCCUGGACAACAGAGCAAUACUCCGUCUCAA
This is an unclassified non-coding RNA of Pongo abelii (Sumatran orangutan), 148 nucleotides long. It matches the Rfam family "Metazoan signal recognition particle RNA". Rfam says of the family: The signal recognition particle (SRP) is a universally conserved ribonucleoprotein. It is involved in the co-translational targeting of proteins to membranes. The record is from Ensembl. Lineage: Eukaryota; Metazoa; Chordata; Mammalia; Primates; Hominidae.